RNAcentral lists this ribosomal RNA (567 nucleotides) under Saccharomyces cerevisiae (brewer's yeast). RNAcentral describes it as "eukaryotic LSU rRNA". It matches the Rfam family "Eukaryotic large subunit ribosomal RNA", at positions 49 to 631 of the family's 3401-position model. Lineage: Eukaryota; Fungi; Ascomycota; Saccharomycetes; Saccharomycetales; Saccharomycetaceae. The record is from RNAcentral.
UUCGGAGGAAAAGAACCAACCGGGAUUGCCUUAGUAACGGCGAGUGAAGCGGCAAAAGCUCAAAUUUGAAAUCUGGUACCUUCGGUGCCCGAGUUGUAAUUUGGAGAGGGCAACUUUGGGGCCGUUCCUUGUCUAUGUUCCUUGGAACAGGACGUCAUAGAGGGUGAGAAUCCCGUGUGGCGAGGAGUGCGGUUCUUUGUAAAGUGCCUUCGAAGAGUCGAGUUGUUUGGGAAUGCAGCUCUAAGUGGGUGGUAAAUUCCAUCUAAAGCUAAAUAUUGGCGAGAGACCGAUAGCGAACAAGUACAGUGAUGGAAAGAUGAAAAGAACUUUGAAAAGAGAGUGAAAAAGUACGUGAAAUUGUUGAAAGGGAAGGGCAUUUGAUCAGACAUGGUGUUUUGUGCCCUCUGCUCCUUGUGGGUAGGGGAAUCUCGCAUUUCACUGGGCCAGCAUCAGUUUUGGUGGCAGGAUAAAUCCAUAGGAAUGUAGCUUGCCUCGGUAAGUAUUAUAGCCUGUGGGAAUACUGCCAGCUGGGACUGAGGACUGCGACGUAAGUCAAGGAUGCUGCAA